UGCAGUUUAUUUUUAAAGACUUGUGUGUGU
This 30-nucleotide non-coding RNA is filed under the name Rattus norvegicus (Norway rat). Lineage: Eukaryota; Metazoa; Chordata; Mammalia; Rodentia; Muridae. The record is from RNAcentral.